This 623-nucleotide ribosomal RNA is filed under the name fungal sp. RNAcentral describes it as "eukaryotic LSU rRNA". The stretch from base 189 to 342 matches the Rfam family "5.8S ribosomal RNA". Lineage: Eukaryota; Fungi. The record is from RNAcentral.
GGUGACCUGCGGAGGGAUCAUUACACAAAUAUGAAGGCGGGCUGGAACCUCUCGGGGUUACAGCCUUGCUGAAUUAUUCACCCUUGUCUUUUGCGUACUUCUUGUUUCCUUGGUGGGUUCGCCCACCACUAGGACAAACAUAAACCUUUUGUAAUUGCAAUCAGCGUCAGUAACAAAUUAAUAAUUACAACUUUCAACAACGGAUCUCUUGGUUCUGGCAUCGAUGAAGAACGCAGCGAAAUGCGAUAAGUAGUGUGAAUUGCAGAAUUCAGUGAAUCAUCGAAUCUUUGAACGCACAUUGCGCCCUUUGGUAUUCCAAAGGGCAUGCCUGUUCGAGCGUCAUUUGUACCCUCAAGCUUUGCUUGGUGUUGGGCGUCUUGUCUCUAGCUUUGCUGGAGACUCGCCUUAAAGUAAUUGGCAGCCGGCCUACUGGUUUCGGAGCGCAGCACAAGUCGCACUCUCUAUCAGCAAAGGUCUAGCAUCCAUUAAGCCUUUUUUUCAACUUUUGACCUCGGAUCAGGUAGGGAUACCCGCUGAACUUAAGCAUAUCAAUAAGCGGAGGAAAAGAAACCAACAGGGAUUGCCCUAGUAACGGCGAGUGAAGCGGCAACAGCUCAAUUUGA